This is a non-coding RNA of Chlorocebus sabaeus (green monkey), 981 nucleotides long. The record is from RefSeq and is a predicted model, not a curated record. Lineage: Eukaryota; Metazoa; Chordata; Mammalia; Primates; Cercopithecidae.
CAGCCUCCCAAGUAGCUGGGACUACAGACUAUAAUUUCCUCUUCCUUCAUAUAUAUCACAAAACCUAGCACAGCUGAAUUAGUCAGGAUUCUUUUGCAAGCGGUUAUGGGGUCUCACUAUGUUGCCCAGACUGGACUCGAACUCCCCAGCUCAAGUGACCUUCCAGCCUCCCAAGUAGCUGGGACUACAGGUAUGCACUAUUCUAUCCAGCUCAGCAUCCUUCUAAUAAAUACUUUUUAUUGUUUAAGUAAGUCAGAGUCAAUUUUCCUUUCUGCCAAUCAAAUAAUUACAGUGGAAUUGGGGUCAGGGUGCAGUAUAAUCAGAGAAUAUAUACUAAGAUUUUAACAGUAACAGUUGCUUUCUAAAAUUGUUCUUGUCUGUAUUUUCUACAAUGAAUAAUGAAUAUGUAUUAUUUUUAUACUAUCAAAUGAAAGGAUAAUAGAGCUACUUUUACCAGGAUCAAAGACAGAGAUAAAACCAGGCACCUGAGAUUUGUUGAUUACCACAAUUGAGCCUUGAAUUUGGCUCUAAGGUUCCUGGGAGUUAAGGAGAAAACUUGGGACAGGAAACAUAUGGGUUAUUUAGUCUGACAAAAAGAAGAAAACAUAUUUUGCUAAAGAGAUGAGGUUUCUCCUGGCACGGAAUUUAAGGAGAAAUCUUGUACAUGUGUGUGUGGGUUCUUGUGUAAGAUACAUAGAGUAACUUAACGGCUAUUAUCUUGAAAUGUGGUUUUACAAAAGACAGAAUGCUUUUCAAAUGGAUUUUUAUAUUAUUAUGGUAUAAAAACUAAGAGACUCACAGUAAAUCUUAACAUAAUGAAGACAUCUUUGCAAGAUAUGAAAAUAAUAAGGUCAGAUAAAUUUCAUUCUUCAGGUACCAACCUAAUGCAGGGAAAUCCUAGCUCUUACUUUCACUUACCUUAAAAGCCUCACUAUUUCCAAUGUAGAUCCAAUUCACAAAAUAAUUCUUCUUCUUCUUCCU